This 1042-nucleotide long non-coding RNA is filed under the name Panax ginseng (ginseng). RNAcentral's name for it is "long non-coding RNA (PGIN_LNC009446)". The record is from RNAcentral. Lineage: Eukaryota; Viridiplantae; Streptophyta; Magnoliopsida; Apiales; Araliaceae.
GAUCAAGGACAAGAUACAAGAGCACCACCAGAAGAAGUCAGAAGAAGAAUAUGUAAUCCCUUCUCCGUCAGCCGAGUAUGCCACCACGGGUUAUGAGGAGAAGGAGGGCUUGGUAGACAAGAUCAAGGACAAACUACACGAACACCACCAUAAGAAGUCAGAAGAAGAAUAUGUGAUCCCUCCUCCGGCAGCCGAGUAUACCGCCACCGGUUAUGAGGAGAAGGAGGGCUUGCUAGACAAAGUAAAGGACAAGUUACACGAACACCACCACAAGAAGUCAGAAGAAUAUGUGAUCUCUCCUCCAGCAACCGAGUAUGCCUCCAGGGAUUAUGAGGAGAAGGAGGGCUUGGUAGAUAAGAUCAAGGACAAGCUACAUGAACACCACCGUAAUAAGUCGGAAGAAGAAUAUGUUAUUCCUCCUCCAGAAACUGAGUAUACUGCCACGGGUUAUGAGGAGAAGGAGGGAUUGGUAGACAAGAUCAAGGACAAGCUACAUGAACACCACCGCAAGAAGUCAGAAGAAGAAUAUGUGAUCUCUCCUCCAGCAGCCGAGUAUGCCGCCACGGAUUAUAAGGAGAAGGAGGGCUUGGUAGACAAGAUCAAGGAAAAGAUACACGAACACCACAAGAAGAAGUCAGAAGAAGAAUAUGUGAUCGCUCUUUCGGUUACAGAGUAUGACGCCACGGAUUAUGAGGAGAAGGAGAGCUUGGUAGACAAGAUCAAGGACAAGAUACACGAACACCACCAAAAGAAGUCAGAAGAAGAAUAUGUGAUCCCAACCGAGUAUGUCGCCACGGGUUAUGACGAGAAUGAGGGUUUGGUAGACAAGAUCAAGGACAAACUGCAUGAACACCACCACAAAAAGUCAGAAGAAGAAUAUGUGAUCCCUCCUCCAGCAGCCGAGUAUGCCGCCACAGGUUAUGUGGAGAAGGAGGGCUUCGCAGACAAGAUCAAGGACAAGUUAUACGAACACCACCACAAGAAGUCGGAAGAAGAAUAUGUGAUCCCUCCCCCAGCAGCCGAGUAUUCAGCCACAUGUUAU